Molecule: small RNA, 687 nt
Filed under: Pan troglodytes (chimpanzee)
Lineage: Eukaryota; Metazoa; Chordata; Mammalia; Primates; Hominidae
Description: retained intron
Source: RNAcentral
CGCUUUGAGACAGGGAAGAAAAAACUGCAGUAUCUGAGCUUCGGUGACUUUGCCUUCUGCGCUGAGCUCAUGAUCCAAAACUGGACCCUUGGAGCCGUCGGACUUGAAGGAGCUCAAGGUGCUAGUGGCUGACAAGGACCUUCUGGACCUGCACAAGAGGUGACCUUGUAGGGGCCCAUGGGGCGGGGCCUGCAGUAGGGGCCCAGGUGGCUAUAGGCGUGACCCUGUCUCUCUGCAGCCUGGUGUGCACUGCUCUCCGGGGAAAGCUGGGCGUCUUCUCUGAGAUGGAAGCCAACUUCAAGAACCUGUCCCGGGGGCUGGUGAACGUGGCCGCCAAGCUGACCCACAAUAAAGAUGUCAGAGACCUGUUUGUGGACCUCGUGGAGAAGGUGAGCUGUCGUGCUCUCUGACGCCCAACCUGGUCUGUCCCUGGCCUAUACAAGUGCUAAGUAUCUCUUGGGCCCGCAGUUUGUGGAACCCUGCCGCUCCGACCACUGGCCACUCAGCGACGUGCGGUUCUUCCUGAAUCAGUAUUCAGCGUCUGUCCACUCCCUCGAUGGCUUCCGACACCAGGCCCUCUGGGACCGCUACAUGGGCACCCUCCGCGGCUGCCUCCUGCGCCUGUAUCAUGACUGAGGCGCCUCCCAACGCUCCGCCCACGCUGACAAUAAAGUUGCUCUGAGUUUG